UACGGGGGGGGCAAGCGUUGUUCGGAAUUACUGGGCGUAAAGGGCGCGUAGGCGGCAAUUCAAGUCAGUUGUGAAAUCUCCGAGCUUAACUCGGAACGGUCAACUGAUACUGUUUUGCUAGAGUACAGAAGGGGCAAUCGGAAUUCUUGGUGUAGCGGUGAAAUGCGUAGAUAUCAAGAGGAACACCUGAGGUGAAGACGGGUUGCUGGGCUGAUACUGACGCUGAGACGCGAAAGCUAGGGUAGCAAACGGG
Molecule: ribosomal RNA, 253 nt
Filed under: uncultured bacterium
Lineage: Bacteria
Description: partial 16S ribosomal RNA
Rfam family: Bacterial small subunit ribosomal RNA
Source: RNAcentral